AGUGAACGCUGGCGGUAGGCCUAACACAUGCAAGUCGAACGGCAGCACAGUAAGAGCUUGCUCUUCCGGGUGGCGAGUGGCGGACGGGUGAGGAAUACAUCGGAAUCUACUUUUUCGUGGGGGAUAACGUAGGGAAACUUACUCUAAUACCGCAUACGACGUACGGGUGAAAGCAGGGGAUCUUCGGACCUUGCGCGAUUGAAUGAGCCGAUGACGGAUUAGCUAGUUGGCGGGGUAAAGGCCCAGCCAGGCGACGAUCCGUAGCUGGUGUGAGAGGAUGAUCAGCCACACUGGAACUGGGACACGGUCCAGACUCCUACGGGAGGGAGCAGUGGGGAAUAGUGGACAAUGGGCGCAAGCCUGACCCAGCCAUACCGCGUGGGUGAAGAAGGCCCUCGGGUCGUAAAGACCUUUUGUUGGGAAAGAAAAGCAGCAGGUUGAUACCCCGCUGGUGUGACGGUACCGAAUGAAGAAGCACCGGCUAACUACGUG
This 492-nucleotide ribosomal RNA is filed under the name uncultured bacterium. RNAcentral's name for it is "partial 16S ribosomal RNA". It matches the Rfam family "Bacterial small subunit ribosomal RNA", at positions 29 to 507 of the family's 1533-position model. The record is from RNAcentral.